RNAcentral lists this ribosomal RNA (626 nucleotides) under uncultured bacterium. Its description in RNAcentral is "bacterial SSU rRNA". The stretch from base 1 to 534 matches the Rfam family "Bacterial small subunit ribosomal RNA", at positions 338 to 873 of the family's 1533-position model. The record is from RNAcentral.
CCUACGGGAGGCAGCAGUAAGGAAUAUUGGUCAAUGGACGCAAGUCUGAACCAGCCAUGCCGCGUGAAGGAUUAAGGUCCUCUGGAUUGUAAACUUCUUUUAUUUGGGACGAAAAAGGGCCUUUCUAGGUCAACUGACGGUACCAGAUGAAUAAGCACCGGCUAACUCCGUGCCAGCAGCCGCGGUAAUACGGAGGGUGCAAGCGUUAUCCGGAUUCACUGGGUUUAAAGGGUGCGUAGGCGGGUAGGUAAGUCAGUGGUGAAAUCCUAGAGCUUAACUCUAGAACUGCCAUUGAUACUAUCUAUCUUGAAUAUUGUGGAGGUAAGCGGAGUAUGUCAUGUAGCGGUGAAAUGCUUAGAUAUGACAUAGAACACCUAUUGCGAAGGCAGCUUACUACGCAUAUAUUGACGCUGAGGCACGAAAGCGUGGGGAUCAAACAGGAUUAGAUACCCUGGUAGUCCACGCCCUAAACUAUGGAUACUCGACAUUUGUGAUACACAAUAAGUGUNUGAGAGAAGANAUAAGUAUACCACCNCGGAGUACGUCCGCGAGAGAGAACGUUAAAUUAGUAAGUUAGUACGGACGUAGAGACGUUAGCCGACGGACGACGACGAGGGAGGAGGGAG